CCUACGGGAGGCAGCAGUGAGGAAUAUUGGGCAAUGGACGAGAGUCUGAACCAGCCAAGUAGCGUGAAGGAUGACUGCCCUAUGGGUUGUAAACUGCUUGUAUAAAGGAAUAAAACGAGGCACGUGUGCCUUUUUGCAUGUACUUUAUGAAUAAGGAUAGGCUAACUCCGUGCCAGCAGCCGCGGUAAUACGGAGGAUCCGAGCGUUAUCCGGAUUUAUUGGGGUUAAAGGGAGCGUAGAUGGGUUGUUAAGUCAGUUGUGAAAGUUUGCGGCUCAACCGUAAAAUUGCAAUUGAUACUGGCAGUCUUGAGUACAGUUGUGGUAGGCGGAAUUCGUGUUGUAUCUGUGA
This 349-nucleotide ribosomal RNA is filed under the name uncultured bacterium. RNAcentral's name for it is "partial 16S ribosomal RNA". It matches the Rfam family "Bacterial small subunit ribosomal RNA", at positions 338 to 684 of the family's 1533-position model. The record is from RNAcentral.